ACAUGGUCUUUUGUUUAUAUAAAAGAUCUGGCCUGCCCAAUGAUAUUUAAUUUAAUGGCUGCAGUAUUUUGACUGUACAAAGGUAGCAUAAUCAUUUGUCUUUUAAUUGAAGUCUGGAAUGAAUGGUUGGAUGAAAGGUUUACUUUCUUUAUUUUAAAGAUAAAAUUUAAUUUUUAAAUUAAAAAGUUUAAGUGAUAAUAUAGGACGAGAAGACCCUAUAGAACUUUAUUUAUAAUAAAUUAUUUAUUUAUUUGUUAAUUAAUAUUAUAUAAUUAUAUAUAAAUUUUGUUGGGGUGAUAAAAAAAAUUUUUUAACUUUUUUUAAUUUGUACAUUUAUAUAUGUAUUUUUGAUCCUUUAAUAUGGAAUAUAAGAUUAAGUUACCUUAGGGAUAACAGCGUUAUUAUUUUAGAGAGUUCUUAUCGAUAAAAUAGUUUGCGACCUCGAUGUUGGAUUAAAAUUAGCUUCAGGAGUAGAUAAUUGGUGGCUAAGUCUGUUCGACUUUUAAAUUUUUACAUGAUCU
RNAcentral lists this ribosomal RNA (521 nucleotides) under Bifidostylus nr. cassisi Msp197. RNAcentral describes it as "partial large subunit ribosomal RNA". The stretch from base 389 to 521 matches the Rfam family "Archaeal large subunit ribosomal RNA", at positions 2542 to 2675 of the family's 2987-position model. The record is from RNAcentral. Lineage: Eukaryota; Metazoa; Arthropoda; Insecta; Hemiptera; Miridae.